CAUUUUUCCUCGCAAAUUAUCGAAAAUGAGUCCUUCUGCACUGAACAGCCGUUCAACGUGAGCCGAAGAUGGUGAGAAGAAGUAUCGA
This is a long non-coding RNA of Trachymyrmex cornetzi, 88 nucleotides long. RefSeq lists it as uncharacterized. NCBI's taxonomy places the organism in Eukaryota, Metazoa, Arthropoda, Insecta, Hymenoptera, Formicidae. The record is from RefSeq and is a predicted model, not a curated record. The transcript has 3 exons.